RNAcentral lists this long non-coding RNA (245 nucleotides) under Hordeum vulgare. RNAcentral describes it as "long non-coding RNA (HVUL_LNC004309)". Lineage: Eukaryota; Viridiplantae; Streptophyta; Magnoliopsida; Poales; Poaceae. The record is from RNAcentral.
CUUUAAUUUCAAUCUUCCAUGGCUAAUACCCCCCCCCCCUGAUACUAUCCAUAGUUUCAUCAAAAUAAGCAACCAACACAACAAAAACAGAAUCUGUUAACAGCAGACCAGUCUGUAGCAAUCUGUAUGUUUCAUAUACCUCUCGUACUUCAAAAAUUCGGAAAAAUUAUGCCAGUCUGAAGAAUUUGCGUAGCAAUCAGCAGCAAAGAGAAUCAACUAAAAAUCUCCUACAAAAAAAAUGAAAA